This 299-nucleotide long non-coding RNA is filed under the name Pongo abelii (Sumatran orangutan). RNAcentral's name for it is "lncRNA (ENSPPYG00000034446.1)". Lineage: Eukaryota; Metazoa; Chordata; Mammalia; Primates; Hominidae. The record is from RNAcentral.
UGAGGGAAACUCAGACCAAAGAGCAGCGGCAAGAAAGCAGUUGGGUCCCCACAAACCGUCCGAAGUCAAGCUUCUCCAUCAUCUUUCUCCACCUGAUUCGUAGAGACCUCUGGAUGUCUGAGCCUAAGCAGGGCCACUAAAUGAGAGGGAAUUCCAUCACUGAAAAGCAACAAUGAAUAUAUUAAGGACCACAGGAGUACUUCUUAGAAUUGUUAUUUUUACAAAUAUGAAACAAUUCAAACAACAAGUAACAGAAUAGGACUCCUGUUUACUUCAGUAUGGCAAUAGAUACUCUGAAC